UUUUUUUUUUGGGUCUCCUCUCUCUCUGAGAAGGAGAAGAAGUGAAGAACUCCAUUACAGGGAAGAGACUUCUGAAUCUUCUCCUCCAAUCUCCAUUACUUACCACCUCUCGAUCCAGAAGAAGAAGGAGAAAUUGUUAACCAAGGGUGUUGAAUCAGUUGAUUCAGUUCUCAUAUUUUGUUUUUGGAACCUAGGGUUUUGAAGUAGUGUUGACUUGUAUUCUAAUAAUUCUAUUUCUAUCUAAUAAUUCUACCUUCCUUGAUAUUGGAUCAGAUUUGUAAUUAAGAAAUCAAAAAGAUUUCUUCCUUUUCUACAAGAGUUGAUUGAUUUGGAUUGGAUUGUAUUUCCACCAAACUGCUUUACUGAGUCCUAUCAAAAACAAUGCCACAAGUGCAGCCAUGGAAUAGAUCUCCACAACCACUUCACCACCAAUGCUACAACUUCAACUAACUUUCUAUUAGUUGUUAAGAUAGUAAAACUUAAGAAUUAAGACUAUUAUAGUAUUGUAACUAUUGUUGUGUGCUACUUGGUAUUUUGUCAGUUUGUGUGCUAUUGCUACUUGUCAAGACUUUGGUUGUUUGGCACUUUGGUUUGCUAGUAUUGUUGCUACUUUUGGGUUGUUACUUUGUUCUUUGAUUUA
This is a long non-coding RNA of Papaver somniferum (opium poppy), 640 nucleotides long. RefSeq lists it as uncharacterized. The record is from RefSeq and is a predicted model, not a curated record. The transcript has 2 exons. NCBI's taxonomy places the organism in Eukaryota, Viridiplantae, Streptophyta, Magnoliopsida, Ranunculales, Papaveraceae.